UUAGAACUGCCCAGCCUGGUUCUGAACCCUGGUUCAGCCACUCACUGCAUGACAUUGGAUGCCAUGAGAGGACGACUUGAGAUUUUUAUAUGAAUCCAAAGAUGGAAUUUACAAAAGGUUGAGAAGCAUUUUUCUACCGAGAGAAACGGAUUAAAAAAAAAUCAAGAAUGACAAUACAUGCGAGUGAUUUUUCUGCGCGAUUGUGACCACACGCACGAGUUCGGCCAGGAUCGGAAACAGAUGGCAGUGAGCAGGCGCAGAGCGUACGGAGAUCACGCGAUGCAGCGCCCACGGGAUGGAUCCACAGCCCUUCUGGGACUUGGUGGCUCUGAAGAACGAUUCCCAUAAGGAGCCCUCACCCCCUCUCAGUCGCCUGCAGCCCGUCUGCCUCUCUGCCGAGAGCACCACAAAUGGGAGGAGGCCAUGACUCUCUGGGGGCGAUGCCGGAUAUUGGGGAGGCAGGAAGGCAGGAGGCCCGUUCAUGCAAUCAGGGGAGGCCGAGGCCACCUUCGCGAUGGAAUGGAACACCUGUGCCUCUUGGCGUCUUGCCUCCCUGGAUGGGAGAACCAAGAGAGCCCUGUGCGUGGUGAUUAGUGUGAAUCACCCUCCUGCCUAGACACCAGCCGUAGCGGUGCCUUCAUGUCGCAUCUCGACCUGGCUCACUCUCCACCUCUCAGGAAUGUCAGUCUAUCAACACCCUCACUGGCCCUGAUUUAGUUCAGAGCCUCAUCAAGUCGCUCCUGGAUCAUUUGCUAUGGAUUUUCUAAUUGGCCUCUCUGCCUCCAAUCUUGCUGCAGCUAAUUCAUGUAGCAGCUGGGGCAAUACAAACCCGACUGUGGGACUUCCCUGCCUAAACCUUUCCCUGGCUCCCCCAAGAGACUCAGUCAGAAUGGACCACAACCGUUGUUGCUUUCUUAUCAGUGUAAUUAUUUGUUGAAUGCUUCUUUGCCUGCCAGUUUACUGCGGGAUGCGUGGCACCUGGCACAGUGCCAGGGGCUUGGUAAAUUUUUGGUGACUGAAUGAAAAUGGCUUCUGUGAGCGCCUAGGCAGACUCCCCUACCCACAGAGCAUUAUACACAUGUACUCAUAUAUUCUUCCCUUAGCAAAAUAUUAAUGCAUUAGUCAAUAUUUAUCACCUACUCUAGGCCUGUAUAGACAAAGAACACAUCCCAAGAAACACGCUUUGGGCCAAUAGUGCAGUCUGGACAUACUGAAGUCCUGAGGAAGCACCUCACACAGUAAUGGUCUGAUAAACAGAGACUAUUAUAUUUUGUUGUUACUUUUUGUAGAUGCUCAACCUCGAGGCUGCAUGGGUCUUAAACCUUACUGAACAGACUAAUUUUAUAGAAGGGGAAACGGAACCCGGGAGAGGUUAUGUGACUUCCUGGAUGACCAGUACUCAGUUACGGGCAGGGUAGAGAUGCAAAUCAGGGCUUCUAGUGUGAAGCUCUUGUACUGCGUCGGGCAGGAGCCCCAGGUUAUUUGGGAAAUAAGCAAAAUCCCUCCAUGGCACCUCCUUUAAUUCCAAUUCACUUUUAUAGCUGCCUGCAUUCAUUUCCCAUUUUUAUGUUAUUUGGGCGCAAGGCCUCCAUGGAGAACCCUGUUCAUGAGAAGCAGCCUGGGACAAAAACAAGGAGAGGCAGCCCUGGAGUCAGGAAGACCUAGGCUCAAAUCCAGGCUCUACUAUUGCCUUGCUUUAUGAGCUUGAGCAAUUCACUUAGCUCUCUGAGCCUCAGUUUCUUCAUGAUGACCUCAGAGUGUUGUUAUGUGGAUUGGAUGAGAAAACAUACGAAAGGCUCUUGCCAUCUCAUAGAAGCUUAGUAAAUAUCCAAUGCCUUUUCCUUCUCUCUCUUUUUGUACCCCAUUUGGCCCAUGUUGCUCUAGAAUUUUCAAGGGUAUCAUCUUUUGGUGGCUCCACACACUGGUUCCAGAGACAUAUGUUCCCCCCUCUGACAUCUUCCCUGUGUGUUUUUAUUUGGCACUAUGGGCACCACAGUGAUAUGGAAGAAAGUCAUGCUCUCAAGUUUAGUCUCUAGUGCAUAAGUCAAUGAGUACAGAGAAAGUCACAAUAGAAUCUGAUCAAUGCUAUGAUAGAUGUAAAUAUGAGGUGAUUUGAGGGAACAGAAAAGGGGAAUGAAAACCUAACUGUGGUGCCAGGAAGACUUGUUGGAGGAAAUGACAUCUGAGAGAGGCCUGGAGCAGAAAUCUGAGAGAGUAGUUCAAGUGAAAUGAAGACCUACUGUGCGCUAGGCAUCAUUGUAGGCAUUAAGGUUACAGCAGUGAUAGCAAACCGAAGUUCUUUCUCUAAGAAGCUUUCAUUAUAGAAGGGAGAUAAUGACAGGCAGAGGGAACACCAUGUACAAAGAACUACUAAAGGGCAAACUACAUUUCAAAUCCUCUUAGCUUGACCUGAAUCUCUUGUAUUUUUCUCUUAACUAUCCUGACUGGUACUGACACUUGGGAGAUUUUGUCUUCAGCCAUGAAAAGAAAACAAAUAGUUUUUUUCUUCCUCAAAAGAAUCCCACUCGUAUUUGUUCCAUCAUUCACAGCCUGCCUGAGAUAUUACUGCUAAUCUCUUUGACAUGGCACAAGGCUAAGGCUGUCAAGUGUUCACAAUUCCUGAAAGAGAAACACUGGGAAAGGAGUCAAAGUGGAAAGGGGUGACCCAUGGUAGAGGAGAAAAGCGCUAAUAGUGGGAAAAGAAAAAUGGGGAAGAAACUUUAGAAUGGAUAAAUCACUCCCUCUGAAAACCGGAUGUGAAGCCCAUUUCCAAAUUAUGCUCUUGGUUUAGAGGUUUAAAACAUUUGGUUAAAAAUGACCAGUAAGUCAGUGUUUCUCAAGCUUGUGAAGGCAAGACUCUAACCUACUAACUUUGGAACUCUGUAAUGGCACCUGGUGGAAGGUAGGUGCUCAAUCAAUGUGUUAAGUUAAAUUUAGGUUUGUUCUCAGUAGCUCAGCCCUCUGUGAGUAGGCUGCUGGUUUCUGUUGACAUUAGAAUAACAUUCCUUUGAAAAUAGUUGUGAUCUUUGGGAGGAAGGACUGUGACCGAUUUACAUUUUGUCCUUUCUUUUA
Molecule: long non-coding RNA, 3072 nt
Organism: Hipposideros armiger (great roundleaf bat)
Lineage: Eukaryota; Metazoa; Chordata; Mammalia; Chiroptera; Hipposideridae
Exons: 3
Source: RefSeq, a predicted model, not a curated record